Molecule: ribosomal RNA, 357 nt
Filed under: Triticum aestivum (bread wheat)
Lineage: Eukaryota; Viridiplantae; Streptophyta; Magnoliopsida; Poales; Poaceae
Description: partial small subunit ribosomal RNA
Source: RNAcentral
AUGGAAGCAAACAAGAACAGAUCUCAGAUGACUGGCCUUGAUCUGAAUGCAUUACCGGAAGAAUGCAGUGAUGCAGUUACCUGGACUGAUGUGCAUUGUUCUGCUUUGGAAGAUAGUGUGUCCCUGGAGGAUGUUACUAUUUCCAAGAAGCAUCGCCGUGCUUCCUGCCCUGCACCUUUGGAUGUCUCUGAAUUGCGUCGCAGUUCUCGCCGCACCAGGUUCCAAGGAUUUAAGGAUACAUUUGUUGCUAAUCGUCCCAGGAGGCGCCCCUUAGUCAAGCCCCUCCCCUCUUCUACAACUGCAGCUGGCCCACAUGAAAGAACAUGCGGUGCCCCCAUGUUUGGUUUUGGUAAUUGA